This 467-nucleotide ribosomal RNA is filed under the name uncultured bacterium. Its description in RNAcentral is "partial 16S ribosomal RNA". It matches the Rfam family "Bacterial small subunit ribosomal RNA", at positions 29 to 507 of the family's 1533-position model. The record is from RNAcentral.
ACGAACGCUGGCGGCGUGCUUAACACAUGCAAGUCGAACGGAAAGGCCCUGCUUUUGUGGGGUGCUCGAGUGGCGAACGGGUGAGUAACACGUGAGUAUCCUGCCCUUGACUUUGGGAUAACUUCAGGAAACUGGGGCUAAUACCGGAUAGGAGCUCCUGCUGCAUGGUGGGGGUUGGAAAGUUUCGGCGGUUGGGGAUGGACUCGCGGCUUAUCAGCUUGUUGGUGGGGUAGUGGCUUACCAAGGCUUUGACGGGUAGCCGGCCUGAGAGGGUGACCGGCCACAUUGGGACUGAGAUACGGCCCAGACUCCUACGGGAGGCAGCAGUGGGGAAUAUUGCACAAUGGGCGGAAGCCUGAUGCAGCAACGCCGCGUGCGGGAUGACGGCCUUCGGGUUGUAAACCGCUUUCGCCUGUGACGAAGCGUGAGUGACGGUAAUGGGUAAAGAAGCACCGGCUAACUACGUG